Molecule: long non-coding RNA, 2013 nt
Filed under: Nicotiana tabacum (common tobacco)
Lineage: Eukaryota; Viridiplantae; Streptophyta; Magnoliopsida; Solanales; Solanaceae
Description: long non-coding RNA (NTAB_LNC004250)
Source: RNAcentral
CCAAGAACAAGUUUGGAAACUAGCAAUUAAGUAGCAACAGUUAAUGGCGAUUUAUACACAGUUCUAAAUAUUGAGAUAUAAAAACCAUAUUAAUGGACCAAAAGGUUGCAUUUAAUUCCAUACUUGAAGCAAUAACAUUAUCUUGAACUAAAUUAACUGAAUAGUGCACUCAUAAAUCAAAAAUACUACUCAAUGGAAGAAGUUUCACUUAGUUACAAAUUAAUUGAUACAAGAAAAAACUACUGAAAUCAGAAACCAGGCUAUAGCAUUGUAAUUAAUUAAUCCGCAUGUCAUUACAAACGAUUUCCACAACCCAGCAGCUUCUACAAUAACGUAGGGGAGAGCUGAUUGCCUCAAAUGGCUUCAGUGAUGUUUAAAAUCUGUCAUUCAAGACCUUCAACACAAGCAGAUGUAGAUGAAAUUCGAACCACCAUCAUAGACUCAUAAAGAAAAACACCAAAUAAACUUUCCAAAUUAUUCAAAUCCAUCAAUAGCAACUCAAACCUUAACAAACAAAGAUCAAACAAAAACAGAAUUGAUUUUCCAUGACUAUUUUUACUACUUAGGUUUCUAGCAUGUAUAUGAAUUUAUCACACCAGUUACUUCAACCUAAACUCAAAUUUACAGUCACAUGAAGGAACAUCCAGCAGAUACGUAAACCAAUAAACCAUGAAUAUUUUAUAACAAAACAAAAUUCCAGCGUCAAUUACAUGGCUUGAAGUCAGAAUAGGUACCUUAAAAUGCAGUAAUAGAACUUAGAGUGGCCAAAUAAAAGCUAAAACUAGAGAAGAAACUCGGUAAAACUCAGGAGGCAACAUCAAAUAAGCAGAAAACGGCAAGAACAAACCCCAGAAUGAACCUCGACUUCAAUUCAGAUUAACGUGUGUUUUUGAAGGACAGAUGCAGAGAUUCAAAGCUGCUCAAAUGAGUGUGUGAGUGAGCCUUAUAUAGAGUGUGAGUGUGCAAAAGGAUAGGGAAUGAGGGAGAGUCUAAGAGGGAACAUAUCAGCUCCUAAAUUUUAGGGAAAUGACAUCUUUUUCAACUGAAUUAGACAGGUGUCCUCUUAUUCUCAAAUAUUUUCCCAUUUUCCAGUAUCUUUUUCCAACAAGAUUGGACAGCUGUCCCCCUUUUUUAAUAAAUCCCCCUUUGUUUCAACCCUUUAAACUUUGUAUUUUUACCCCUUUCACCUCAAAAUCUGACCUAAUAUCAAUUUUUUUAUUACAUUUUGGCCCCUUCUAGAGGCUUCCUAUCAAAUAACAAAAGAUUCCCUAAUUUUGCUUUCCCAAUUAACCCCCUUAAGUUUCUGGUAAUUACAAAAUAGCCAUACCAAAGAGAUUAUAUGGAUCAAUCACAAGAAACAAUAAUACACAAUCAAACUUGUUUCAACAUCUAAUUAACUCAACAAUUAAGACUAAUUAACAUGCAAUUAAAUUGCUAAAUCAUGCAACCAAUGAAAACAAAUCCAAACAUGUGAAUACUCAAAACAAAUGUACUAAGCUAUGUUAAUCCACUAUUAAUUAACUAAUUUAUGAGCUAAAGCUAAUCUAAUUAGGCUAAUUUGCACUCAACAAACAAAUUCAAUUAAACGCCUAAACAGACUGUUCCUCUUUUCUUUUUUUCUUUUUUUAAUUCUUCUUAAAACAAAUAAAACAAAAAUAAGAUAGAAUAGGGUGAGGAUGUACCUAAUGCAAAUAAAGACGGUUCAAUUGAAGCGAUUUCAACGAGAUUCCGCCAGACUCCGGUGUCUUCGAAACGAGCCGAAAUUAACAUCAUUCAACUGUUCAGAACAAUCAAACAAUGCAAAUUUCGGACCGAAUCAAGUCUUGGAAACCUUGAAAAAUCAAACAACGAGGACUAGGGUUUCUAGGGGGUUUUAGAUCUGAAAUUCGUGGAAAUCUAAUGGUUUUUUGAAGAAACAAAAGGGUGAUAUAGGAUAAGGAGGAGAUGGAAUUUAUGGGGUGAAGAUUUUAUGGUGCUUGGGGUGGUUGCCACCGGUCACAGGUGUGCUUGGGG